This 403-nucleotide ribosomal RNA is filed under the name uncultured bacterium. RNAcentral's name for it is "bacterial SSU rRNA". It matches the Rfam family "Bacterial small subunit ribosomal RNA", at positions 28 to 433 of the family's 1533-position model. The record is from RNAcentral.
GACGAACGCUGGCGGCGUGCUUAACACAUGCAAGUCGAGCGGUAAGGCCCUUUCGGGGGUACGACGAGCGGCGAACGGGUGAGUAACACGUGGGUGACCUGCCCUCAGCUCUGGGAUAAGCCUGGGAAACCGGGUCUAAUACUGGAUAUGACUCCAUGACGCAUGUUGUGGGGUGGAAAGUCUUGUGCGGCUGAGGAUGGGCCCGCGGCCUAUCAGCUUGUUGGUGGGGUGAUGGCCUACCAAGGCGACGACGGGUAGCCGGCCUGAGAGGGCGACCGGCCACACUGGGACUGAGACACGGCCCAGACUCCUACGGGAGGCAGCAGUGGGGAAUCUUGCGCAAUGGGCGAAAGCCUGACGCAGCGACGCCGCGUGAGGGAUGACGGCCUGGUGUAACUACUUC